RNAcentral lists this ribosomal RNA (1229 nucleotides) under Escherichia coli. Its description in RNAcentral is "partial 23S ribosomal RNA". It matches the Rfam family "Bacterial large subunit ribosomal RNA", at positions 323 to 1559 of the family's 2925-position model. Lineage: Bacteria; Pseudomonadati; Pseudomonadota; Gammaproteobacteria; Enterobacterales; Enterobacteriaceae. The record is from RNAcentral.
UGUGUGUUAGUGGAAGCGUCUGGAAAGGCGCGCGAUACAGGGUGACAGCCCCGUACACAAAAAUGCACAUGCUGUGAGCUCGAUGAGUAGGGCGGGACACGUGGUAUCCUGUCUGAAUAUGGGGGGACCAUCCUCCAAGGCUAAAUACUCCUGACUGACCGAUAGUGAACCAGUACCGUGAGGGAAAGGCGAAAAGAACCCCGGCGAGGGGAGUGAAAAAGAACCUGAAACCGUGUACGUACAAGCAGUGGGAGCACGCUUAGGCGUGUGACUGCGUACCUUUUGUAUAAUGGGUCAGCGACUUAUAUUCUGUAGCAAGGUUAACCGAAUAGGGGAGCCGAAGGGAAACCGAGUCUUAACUGGGCGUUAAGUUGCAGGGUAUAGACCCGAAACCCGGUGAUCUAGCCAUGGGCAGGUUGAAGGUUGGGUAACACUAACUGGAGGACCGAACCGACUAAUGUUGAAAAAUUAGCGGAUGACUUGUGGCUGGGGGUGAAAGGCCAAUCAAACCGGGAGAUAGCUGGUUCUCCCCGAAAGCUAUUUAGGUAGCGCCUCGUGAAUUCAUCUCCGGGGGUAGAGCACUGUUUCGGCAAGGGGGUCAUCCCGACUUACCAACCCGAUGCAAACUGCGAAUACCGGAGAAUGUUAUCACGGGAGACACACGGCGGGUGCUAACGUCCGUCGUGAAGAGGGAAACAACCCAGACCGCCAGCUAAGGUCCCAAAGUCAUGGUUAAGUGGGAAACGAUGUGGGAAGGCCCAGACAGCCAGGAUGUUGGCUUAGAAGCAGCCAUCAUUUAAAGAAAGCGUAAUAGCUCACUGGUCGAGUCGGCCUGCGCGGAAGAUGUAACGGGGCUAAACCAUGCACCGAAGCUGCGGCAGCGACACUAUGUGUUGUUGGGUAGGGGAGCGUUCUGUAAGCCUGUGAAGGUGUGCUGUGAGGCAUGCUGGAGGUAUCAGAAGUGCGAAUGCUGACAUAAGUAACGAUAAAGCGGGUGAAAAGCCCGCUCGCCGGAAGACCAAGGGUUCCUGUCCAACGUUAAUCGGGGCAGGGUGAGUCGACCCCUAAGGCGAGGCCGAAAGGCGUAGUCGAUGGGAAACAGGUUAAUAUUCCUGUACUUGGUGUUACUGCGAAGGGGGGACGGAGAAGGCUAUGUUGGCCGGGCGACGGUUGUCCCGGUUUAAGCGUGUAGGCUGGUUUUCCAGGCAAAUCCGGAAAAUCAAGGCUGA